This 253-nucleotide ribosomal RNA is filed under the name uncultured bacterium. RNAcentral describes it as "partial 16S ribosomal RNA". It matches the Rfam family "Bacterial small subunit ribosomal RNA", at positions 524 to 776 of the family's 1533-position model. The record is from RNAcentral.
UACAGAGGUCCCAAGCGUUGUUCGGAUUCACUGGGCGUAAAGGGUGCGUAGGCGGUCGGGUAAGUCUGAUGUGAAAUCUCACAGCUUAACUGUGAAACUGCAUUGGAUACUAUCCGGCUCGAGGAAUGGAGGGGAGACUGGAAUACUUGGUGUAGCAGUGAAAUGCGUAGAUAUCGUGAGGAACACCAGAGGCGAAGGCGGUUACCUGGACAGUUACUGACGCUCAGGCACGAAAGCGUGGGGAGCAAAAGGG